Molecule: ribosomal RNA, 120 nt
Filed under: Oncorhynchus mykiss (rainbow trout)
Lineage: Eukaryota; Metazoa; Chordata; Actinopteri; Salmoniformes; Salmonidae
Source: RNAcentral
GCUUACGGCCACACCCGGCCUGAGUACGCCUGAUCUCGUCGAUCUCGGAAGCUAAAGCAGGGUCGGGCCUGGUUAGUACUGGAUGGGAGACCGCCUGGGAAUACCAGGGUGCUGUAAGCU